Schistosoma curassoni is the source of this 46-nucleotide non-coding RNA. The record is from Rfam. Lineage: Eukaryota; Metazoa; Platyhelminthes; Trematoda; Strigeidida; Schistosomatidae.
GCACUGCUAAAGAGUCCCACAAUAGAACGAAACGGCCGUCCAGUGC